ACGGAGGAUCCGAGCGUUAUCCGGAUUUAUUGGGUUUAAAGGGUGCGUAGGCUGGUUUUUAAGUCAGCUGUGAAAUACCGACGCUUACCGUCGGCACUGCAGUUGAAACUGGGGGACUUGAGAGCAAAAGAGGCAUGCGGAAUUCAUGGUGUAGCGGUGAAAUGCAUAGAUAUCAUGAAGAACCCCGAUUGCGAAGGCAGGAUGCUGGGGUAUAACUGACGCUGAGUCACGAAAGUGUGGGUAUCAAACAG
This 251-nucleotide ribosomal RNA is filed under the name uncultured prokaryote. RNAcentral describes it as "partial 16S rRNA". It matches the Rfam family "Bacterial small subunit ribosomal RNA", at positions 525 to 775 of the family's 1533-position model. The record is from RNAcentral.